GUCAGCUAAAGGCAACUGAUUUGAAAAGAUCAGGCGCAAAACUACCGACCUAAAGAAAAACAACUAUGUUUAUAUGGUUUUAUUUCUAUGGCAGCGGAGUUACCUGA
Molecule: non-coding RNA, 107 nt
Filed under: Photobacterium sp.
Lineage: Bacteria; Pseudomonadati; Pseudomonadota; Gammaproteobacteria; Vibrionales; Vibrionaceae
Also listed under: 1 other name
Description: c-di-GMP sequence
Rfam family: c-di-GMP-I riboswitch aptamer
About the family: GEMM was predicted in a large-scale screen for bacterial structured RNA regulatory elements. Genes associated with GEMM are involved in a diverse array of functions, including chemotaxis regulation, signal transduction, secretion and chitin.
Source: RNAcentral